GCGGGUGGUCACGGGUUAAUUUAUAACAUACACCAAACCUCAAGCCUUACCUGUACCCUUUCCCGGACAUCUAUUUGGAAAUCUGUUAACUUGGAAUAUAAGAUCACUGAAAAGAUUUCUGUCAUAAUUGACACAGAUCAUAUGAAAAGACACCAGCAAAAGACUAGUUUGAAAACUAUAUUAAUACCAGUACUCAUCGUAUUUCUUAUUUUACAGAAAGUGUCCACUUUUCCACAGCCAGAUGAUACACAAUAACUACCUUAACCCCCAACAUGGGAGCUGAUGAAUAAGCCUUAAUGGAAUGAAUGAGUGAAUCUCAUGGGGAUCACAUGCAGCCUAAAGUUAAAUCUGCCAUAAAAAAUCAUCCUCUUAUGAAACCGUCCAGACUCCCCUUUUCCCGGCUUCCUGACCUCUCCUUUCUGUCCAGCUUUCCUCUGUGGGCGGUGCCUUCCACCAAGUCUCAUUUUCUCCAAGAGCGCUGUUCUGCCUUCCUCUCCUCAUGGCACAUUUUUUGCCUGGACACACUUUUGGCUUGUAUGUAGCCUGAAAUUGUUCCUUUUCUGUUUAUUGCAAGCAUCUUUUAUUUCCUGAGGUAUAAUUCAGUGUCUUAUGGACCCCAGUCUGUGUCUGUGCCAGUGGCUUAAUGAGCAUAAGCCUUAAGACCAUUUUUCCUGAGACAGCAGUCAUAUUGCCUCCUUCUCUUUUGAGCCAAAAACAAGAGAAUAGGGCCUAGUAUUCACAUAAAGAAGGAGAUUUAUUCCUACCAAAUAUUUAGUGCCUUUAAAAGCUAAGUGACCAAGUGGCAUUUAGGAUUUACCACCCAGGAGAGUGGUACUAAUAAUUGGGCUUGAUAGAUAUAGUCUUUGGUAAAGGCCAUAAUUAAACAAAAAUGAUAUCCAAAGAUUUAUUUUCCAUUUUAAGAAUCACCUGAUGUUCUACUCCUUGAAACAAACAAAAUGGUUUUGUUUUUCCCUCUGAACAAAAGUGCAAUCUACAAUAAUUUUUAAGACACACAGGUUUUGUAAAUAAUAUGAAUCUGUACAAAAAGUAAAGAGAACCCUCCAGGAAAGAUGUUUUUGCCUUAUGUAGGUAUCUUUGAAGGUCAACAAGAGAUUAUCUGAAAACCUAGGAACAUAGAGCUGAACAAUUUUAAGAGGGCUUAAAAUAUUAUUUCCUUUCACUUCUCUAUGAGAAAAUAAAACUUUAGCUUUUCAGCUCUAUCCA
RNAcentral lists this long non-coding RNA (1224 nucleotides) under Felis catus (domestic cat). Its description in RNAcentral is "lncRNA (ENSFCAG00000050879.1)". Lineage: Eukaryota; Metazoa; Chordata; Mammalia; Carnivora; Felidae. The record is from RNAcentral.